RNAcentral lists this long non-coding RNA (724 nucleotides) under Olea europaea (common olive). Its description in RNAcentral is "long non-coding RNA (OEUR_LNC012755)". The record is from RNAcentral. Lineage: Eukaryota; Viridiplantae; Streptophyta; Magnoliopsida; Lamiales; Oleaceae.
UUGUGUGAUAAUCUUUUCUUUUCCCCUAAUUUCCUGGAGAAUUUGAGGGUUUUAUUGUGAAUAGUGAAUUGUGAAAUGGACUUAGAUUGGGAUGAUCUCUAUAUGUGGGUUCAAAAUUUCAAGCUUGUAGAGAGAAUUAGAUUUAGUAGAAAUGGGAUUUUGAGUAUGCGUGUAUUUUCUAUGCAUGUAUUUGUGCUUUUUUGUUGUAUACUUGUAUAAUUGAAGGAGAAGAAAAGGAAUAUAUGUGGAAAUAACAGUUUCAUAUGGCUUUCAUGGGGAAUUGAAGAUACAAAAUGACUAACUGAGAGAGUAGUCUUUUUUCAUUUUUAUAUGUUUUUUAGUGGGGGUUGGUGGGUUAUUAUUGCUUGCUCGUCUUUCAUCUCAGGCAAACUCUCAAUUCAUAUUGUUGUCGAUUCCAGAAAGAGGUUUUUGUAGUCAUUGGCAAUUCUUUUCUUUUUUCCAAUAUGUGCAUAUCCCGUUGUACCACAAUUGUUGUCCAGCGUCUUAUAGAAAUUUGAGAUUCUUUUGUCCUCUCUUGUCUAAUUCUUUUGCUUUUAAAAUAGUCACAGCUUGACACCUUUCACUCUAUUUCAGUUAUUUUAAAUAUAUUCCUGAUAAUUUAACUCCGGUUUGUCAUAUUUUUCUCCAUCUCUUCAUAUUAGGCAUGAUCUUGAACCUCUCUAGCACUUAGUUCUUGCAUAUUUUCACUAACUAUCUGGGUAUG